GUCAAUUUAGUUUAAAAGAGAAUAUUAGUUUUGUAAAUUAAUGGUUGAGUUGGCU
This 55-nucleotide transfer RNA is filed under the name Gnathostoma sp. MMS-2017. RNAcentral describes it as "tRNA-Thr". Lineage: Eukaryota; Metazoa; Nematoda; Chromadorea; Rhabditida; Gnathostomatidae. The record is from RNAcentral.